GACGAACGCUGGCGGCGUGCCUAAUACAUGCAAGUAGAACGCUGAAGGAGGAGCUUGCUUCUCUGGAUGAGUUGCGAACGGGUGAGUAACGCGUAGGUAACCUGCCUGGUAGCGGGGGAUAACUAUUGGAAACGAUAGCUAAUACCGCAUAAUAGUAGAUGUUGCAUGACAUUUGCUUAAAAGGUGCAAUUGCAUCACUACCAGAUGGACCUGCGUUGUAUUAGCUAGUUGGUGGGGUAACGGCUCACCAAGGCGACGAUACAUAGCCGACCUGAGAGGGUGAUCGGCCACACUGGGACUGAGACACGGCCCAGACUCCUACGGGAGGCAGCAGUAGGGAAUCUUCGGCAAGGGACGGAAGUCUGACCGAGCAACGCCGCGUGAGUGAAGAAGGUUUUCGGAUCGUAAAGCUCUGUUGUAAGAGAAGAACGAGUGUGAGAGUGGAAAGUUCACACUGUGACGGUAUCUUACCAGAAAGGGACGGCUAACUACGUG
This 495-nucleotide ribosomal RNA is filed under the name uncultured bacterium. Its description in RNAcentral is "partial 16S ribosomal RNA". It matches the Rfam family "Bacterial small subunit ribosomal RNA", at positions 28 to 507 of the family's 1533-position model. The record is from RNAcentral.